AGCGAACGCUGGCGGCAGGCCUAACACAUGCAAGUCGAACGAUCCUUCGGGAUAGUGGCGGACGGGUGAGUAACACGUGGGAACGUGCCCUUUGGUUCGGAAUAACUCAGGGAAACUUGAGCUAAUACCGGAUGUGCCCUUCGGGGGAAAGAUUUAUCGCCAUUGGAGCGGCCCGCGUUGGAUUAGCUAGUUGGUGGGGUAAAGGCCCACCAAGGCUACGAUCCAUAGCUGGUCUGAGAGGAUGAUCAGCCACACUGGGACUGAGACACGGCCCAGACUCCUACGGGAGGCAGCAGUGGGGAAUCUUGCGCAAUGGGCGAAAGCCUGACGCAGCCAUGCCGCGUGAAGGAUGAAGGUCUUAGGAUUGUAAAAUUCUUUCACCGGGGACGAUAAUGACGGUACCCGGAGAAGAAGCCCCGGCUAACUUCGUGCCAGCAGCCGCGGUAA
This 447-nucleotide ribosomal RNA is filed under the name uncultured bacterium. RNAcentral's name for it is "partial 16S ribosomal RNA". It matches the Rfam family "Bacterial small subunit ribosomal RNA", at positions 29 to 523 of the family's 1533-position model. The record is from RNAcentral.